RNAcentral lists this unclassified non-coding RNA (147 nucleotides) under uncultured fungus. Its description in RNAcentral is "sequence contains ITS1, 5.8S rRNA gene". The record is from RNAcentral. Lineage: Eukaryota; Fungi.
AAAAAAAGAGUUGCAAGACUCGAAAACCAUCGCGAACAUACCUCUCGUCGUUGCUUCGGCGGGCUGCUCGUCAGGGCGCCCGCCGGAGGACCACCAAACUCUGUUUUCUUAGCGUAUCUCUGAGUGGACCACAAAAAAAAUGAAUCA